CUUUUGCUGGCGACCGGCGCACGGGUGAGCAACACGUAUCCAACCUGCCCUUUACUCGGGGAUAGCCUUUCGAAAGAAAGAUUAAUACCCGAUAGCAUAAUGAUUCCGCAUGGUUUCAUUAUUAAAGGAUUCCGGUAAAGGAUGGGGAUGCGUUCCAUUAGGUUGUUGGUGAGGUAACGGCUCACCAAGCCUUCGAUGGAUAGGGGUUCUGAGAGGAAGGUCCCCCACAUUGGAACUGAGACACGGUCCAA
RNAcentral lists this ribosomal RNA (251 nucleotides) under uncultured bacterium. RNAcentral's name for it is "partial 16S ribosomal RNA". It matches the Rfam family "Bacterial small subunit ribosomal RNA", at positions 78 to 334 of the family's 1533-position model. The record is from RNAcentral.